AUCUGUUUGGAGUUGUGGUUAGUGCGCUCGGCUGUGGAUCAGGGCGACGAGGGUUCGAUUCCCCCUACCAGAUG
This 74-nucleotide transfer RNA is filed under the name Dallia pectoralis (Alaska blackfish). RNAcentral's name for it is "tRNA-OTHER". Lineage: Eukaryota; Metazoa; Chordata; Actinopteri; Esociformes; Umbridae. The record is from RNAcentral.